GACGAACGCUGGCGGCGUGCUUAGCACAUGCAAGUCGAACGGAAAGGCCCUGCUUUUGUGGGGUGCUCGAGUGGCGAACGGGUGAGUAACACGUGAGUAACCUGCCCUUGACUUUGGGAUAACUUCAGGAAACUGUGGCUAAUACCGGAUAGGAGCUCCUGCUGCAUGGUGGGGGUUGGAAAGUUUCGGCGGUUGGGGAUGGACUCGCGGCUUAUCAGCUUGUUGGUGGGGUAGUGGCUUACCAAGGCUUUGACGGGUAGCCGGCCUGAGAGGGUGACCGGCCACAUUGGGACUGAGAUACGGCCCAGACUCCUACGGGAGGCAGCAGUGGGGAAUAUUGCACAAUGGGCGGAAGCCUGAUGCAGCAACGCCGCGUGCGGGAUGACGGCCUUCGGGUUGUAAACCGCUUUCGCCUGUGACGAAGCGUGAGUGACGGUAAUGGGUAAAGAAGCACCGGCUAACUACGUG
This 468-nucleotide ribosomal RNA is filed under the name uncultured bacterium. Its description in RNAcentral is "partial 16S ribosomal RNA". It matches the Rfam family "Bacterial small subunit ribosomal RNA", at positions 28 to 507 of the family's 1533-position model. The record is from RNAcentral.